Molecule: transfer RNA, 72 nt
Filed under: Bos taurus (domestic cattle)
Lineage: Eukaryota; Metazoa; Chordata; Mammalia; Artiodactyla; Bovidae
Also listed under: 2 other names
Rfam family: tRNA
About the family: Transfer RNA (tRNA) molecules are approximately 80 nucleotides in length. Their secondary structure includes four short double-helical elements and three loops (D, anti-codon, and T loops).
Source: Rfam by way of RNAcentral
UCCCUGGUGGCUCAGCUGGUAAAGAGUCCGCCUGCAAUGCGGGAGACCUGGGUUCGAUCCCUGGGUUGGGAA